This 689-nucleotide ribosomal RNA is filed under the name Bartonella mastomydis. RNAcentral describes it as "bacterial SSU rRNA". It matches the Rfam family "Bacterial small subunit ribosomal RNA", at positions 28 to 760 of the family's 1533-position model. The record is from RNAcentral. Lineage: Bacteria; Pseudomonadati; Pseudomonadota; Alphaproteobacteria; Hyphomicrobiales; Bartonellaceae.
AACGAACGCUGGCGGCAGGCUUAACACAUGCAAGUCGAGCGCGCUCUUUUAGAGCGAGCGGCAAACGGGUGAGUAACGCGUGGGAAUCUACCCAUUUCUACGGAAUAACACAGAGAAAUUUGUGCUAAUACCGUAUACGUCCCUUUAGGGAGAAAGAUUUAUCGGAGAUGGAUGAGCCCGCGUUGGAUUAGCUAGUUGGUGAGGUAACGGCUCACCAAGGCGACGAUCCAUAGCUGGUCUGAGAGGAUGAUCAGCCACACUGGGACUGAGACACGGCCCAGACUCCUACGGGAGGCAGCAGUGGGGAAUAUUGGACAAUGGGGGCAACCCUGAUCCAGCCAUGCCGCGUGAGUGAUGAAGGCCCUAGGGUUGUAAAGCUCUUUCACCGGUGAAGAUAAUGACGGUAACCGGAGAAGAAGCCCCGGCUAACUUCGUGCCAGCAGCCGCGGUAAUACGAAGGGGGCUAGCGUUGUUCGGAUUUACUGGGCGUAAAGCGCACGUAGGCGGAUAUUUAAGUCAGAGGUGAAAUCCCAGGGCUCAACCCUGGAACUGCCUUUGAUACUGGAUAUCUUGAGUGUGGAAGAGGUGAGUGGAAUUCCGAGUGUAGAGGUAAAAUUCGUAGAUAUUCGGAGGAACACCAGUGGCGAAGGCGGCUCACUGGUCCAUUACUGACGCUGAGGUGCGAAAGC